GUGAGAUGUUGGGUUAAGUCCGUACGAGCGCAACCCUUGUCCUUAGUUACCAGCACGUUAUGGUGGGCACUCUAAGGAGACUGCCGGUGGCAAACCGGAGGAAGGUGGGGAUGACGUCAAGUCAUCAUGGCCCUUACGGCCUGGGCUACACACGUGCUACAAUGGUCGGUACAAAGGGUUGCCAAGCCGCGAGGUGGAGCUAAUCCCAUAAAACCGAUCGUAGUCCGGAUCGCAGUCUGCAACUCGACUGCGUGAAGUCGGAAUCGCUAGUAAUCGUGAAUCAGAAUGUCACGGUGAAUACGUUCCCGGGCCUU
This 314-nucleotide ribosomal RNA is filed under the name uncultured Pseudomonas sp. RNAcentral describes it as "bacterial SSU rRNA". It matches the Rfam family "Bacterial small subunit ribosomal RNA", at positions 1067 to 1382 of the family's 1533-position model. The record is from RNAcentral. Lineage: Bacteria; Pseudomonadati; Pseudomonadota; Gammaproteobacteria; Pseudomonadales; Pseudomonadaceae.